AGGAUUCCUUUUAAGACUAAGAUCGGUAGGCAUCUUAUACACCCUAUUAAGCCUAUCAGUGGUAGCCACCUUAUUCAUAUUAGGACGCUAUGAAACCCUAUUAAGCUAAGCCUAUUCCAGGUAGGACCUUAUUUAGGAAUAUUACAGCUUGAAAACGGGCUUCCUUACAAAAAGUCUAAUCACUUUAUUUACUCAUCAGAAGAUCUCUCUGACACUGCAACUAGAGAGGCAAGACCUACUUCUUAUCCAGAGGUUUUCGAAGGAUAGCCAAAUACUUCUUA
RNAcentral lists this long non-coding RNA (281 nucleotides) under Elaeis guineensis (African oil palm). RNAcentral's name for it is "long non-coding RNA (EGUI_LNC077533)". Lineage: Eukaryota; Viridiplantae; Streptophyta; Magnoliopsida; Arecales; Arecaceae. The record is from RNAcentral.